AUAAAGCGGGUGAAAAGCCCGCUCGCCGGAAGACCAAGGGUUCCUGUCCAACGUUAAUCGGGGCAGGGUGAGUCGACCCCUAAGGCGAGGCCGAAAGGCGUAGUCGAUGGGAAACGGGUUAAUAUUCCCGUACUUGGUGUUACUGCGAAGGGGGGACGGAGAAGGCUAUGUUGGCCGGGCGACGGUUGUCCCGGUUUAAGCGUGUAGGUGUGUGUUCCAGGUAAAUCCGGUUCACUUUAACACUGAGGCGUGACGACGAGGCACUACGGUGCUGAAGCAACAAAUGCCCUGCUUCCAGGAAAA
This 303-nucleotide ribosomal RNA is filed under the name Salmonella enterica subsp. enterica serovar Typhimurium. RNAcentral's name for it is "partial 23S ribosomal RNA". It matches the Rfam family "Bacterial large subunit ribosomal RNA", at positions 1312 to 1616 of the family's 2925-position model. Lineage: Bacteria; Pseudomonadati; Pseudomonadota; Gammaproteobacteria; Enterobacterales; Enterobacteriaceae. The record is from RNAcentral.